Molecule: non-coding RNA, 136 nt
Organism: Triticum aestivum (bread wheat)
Lineage: Eukaryota; Viridiplantae; Streptophyta; Magnoliopsida; Poales; Poaceae
Source: Rfam
UAAAUACUCCCUCCGUCCGGAAAUACUUGUCAUCAGGAUGAACAAAAGGUGGUGUAUCUAGACACAUUUUAGUUCUAGAUACAUCCCUUUUUAUCCAUUUUUGAUGACAACUAUUUUUGGACGGAGGGAGUAACAG